UACGAAGGGGGCUAGCGUUGUUCGGAAUCACUGGGCGUAAAGGGCGCGUAGGCGGCCGAUCAAGUCGGGGGUGAAAGCCUGUGGCUCAACCACAGAAUUGCCUUCGAUACUGUUUGGCUUGAGACCGGAAGAGGUUAGUGGAACUGCGAGUGUAGAGGUGAAAUUCGUAGAUAUUCGCAAGAACACCAGUGGCGAAGGCGGUUGCCUGGAGCUUUGCUGACGCUGAGGCGCGAAAGCGUGGGGAGCGAUCCGG
RNAcentral lists this ribosomal RNA (253 nucleotides) under uncultured bacterium. RNAcentral's name for it is "partial 16S ribosomal RNA". It matches the Rfam family "Bacterial small subunit ribosomal RNA", at positions 524 to 776 of the family's 1533-position model. The record is from RNAcentral.